Molecule: long non-coding RNA, 506 nt
Organism: Culex pipiens pallens (northern house mosquito)
Lineage: Eukaryota; Metazoa; Arthropoda; Insecta; Diptera; Culicidae
Exons: 2
Source: RefSeq, a predicted model, not a curated record
UAAAAGAAAUCAUAAUUCAGCUGUAGAUUAGCUUUUCAAUGCAAAUCAGUCACAAAACAGCAUAUGUUAGUGCAAAUCAGCUCUAAUAAAGUUGCUCUGCAAGAUGCUGAAAUCAUGCUGUUUACCAGCAAUCACUGGCAGCACUGUCAUGUUUUUUCUUGAAAUUGGCAACCCGGCUAUGAUUGUGACAGAAAGUGAAAGAGAGAGAAUGAUUAAAAACAAAUUCUCGCUCACUCACCUUUCUUCAAAGUAAGGAAAUAAAUAUUUAAACCGCAGUUCAAACCAAUAAUUUGUUGCUGGUGAAUCGUGUUGAGAUCGUUCAGAUUGAAAUUUGAAUAAUUGCCACAUUCAAAAUGCGACUGACGAAACUUGAGCAGCCGCUUCGAAUACUUUCAGCAGCAGCCGAGGGAAAAUUGUUUGUGUUCGGCGCCCUUCAAGGAGGCGAAAAUGAGUGAUGAUAACAGUGAUUAUUAUGAAAUGGAUUUGUGGAUUUUUAAAUAAAUAUA